CCUACGGGAGGCAGCAGUGGGGAAUAUUGCACAAUGGGCGCAAGCCUGAUGCAGCCAUGCCGCGUGUGUGAAGAAGGCCUUCGGGUCGUAAAGCACUUUCAGCGGGGAGGAAGGCGGUGAGGUUAAUAACCUCAUCGAUUGACGUUACCCGCAGAAGAAGCACCGGCUAACUCCGUGCCAGCAGCCGCGGUAAUACGGAGGGUGCAAGCGUUAAUCGGAAUUACUGGGCGUAAAGCGCACGCAGGCGGUCUGUCAAGUCGGAUGUGAAAUCCCCGGGCUCAACCUGGGAACUGCAUUCGAAACUGGCAGGCUAGAGUCUUGUAGAGGGGGGUAGAAUUCCAGGUGUAGCGGUGAAAUGCGUAGAGAUCUGGAGGAAUACCGGUGGCGAAGGCGGCCCCCUGGACAAAGACUGACGCUCAGGUGCGAAAGCGUGGGGAGCAAACAGGAUUAGAUACCCGUGUAGUC
Molecule: ribosomal RNA, 465 nt
Filed under: uncultured Klebsiella sp.
Lineage: Bacteria; Pseudomonadati; Pseudomonadota; Gammaproteobacteria; Enterobacterales; Enterobacteriaceae
Description: bacterial SSU rRNA
Rfam family: Bacterial small subunit ribosomal RNA
Source: RNAcentral